UUCCAUUAGAUAGUAGGCGGGGCAACGGCCCACCUAGUCAACGAUGGAUAGGGGUUCUGAGAGGAAGGUCCCCCACAUUGGAACUGAGACACGGUCCAAACUCCUACGGGAGGCAGCAGUGAGGAAUAUUGGUCAAUGGGCGAUGGCCUGAACCAGCCAAGUAGCGUGAAGGAUGACUGCCCUAUGGGUUGUAAACUUCUUUUAUAAAGGAAUAAAGUCGGGUAUGCAUACCCGUUUGCAUGUACUUUAUGAAUAAGGAUCGGCUAACUCCGUGCCAGCAGCCGCGGUAAUACGGAGGAUCCGAGCGUUAUCCGGAUUUAUUGGGUUUAAAGGGAGCGUAGAUGGAUGUUUAAGUCAGUUGUGAAAGUUUGCGGCUCAACCGUAAAAUUGCAGUUGAUACUGGAUGUCUUGAGUGCAGUUGAGGCAGGCGGAAUUCGUGGUGUAGCGGUGAAAUGCUUAGAUAUCACGAAGAACUCCGAUUGCGAAGGCAGCCUGCUAAGCUGCAACUGACAUUGAGGCUCGAAAGUGUGGGUAUCAAACAGGAU
RNAcentral lists this ribosomal RNA (545 nucleotides) under uncultured bacterium. RNAcentral's name for it is "bacterial SSU rRNA". It matches the Rfam family "Bacterial small subunit ribosomal RNA", at positions 236 to 778 of the family's 1533-position model. The record is from RNAcentral.